AGAACGAACGCUGGCGGCAUGCCUAACACAUGCAAGUCGAACGAGACCUUCGGGUCUAGUGGCGCACGGGUGCGUAACGCGUGGGAAUCUGCCCUUGGGUUCGGAAUAACAGCGAGAAAUUGCUGCUAAUACCGGAUGAUGACGUAAGUCCAAAGAUUUAUCGCCCAAGGAUGAGCCCGCGUAGGAUUAGCUUGUUGGUGAGGUAAGAGCUCACCAAGGCGACGAUCCUUAGCUGGUCUGAGAGGAUGAUCAGCCACACGUGGGACUGAGACACGGCCCAGACUCCGUACGGGAGGCAGCGAGGUGGGGAAUA
RNAcentral lists this ribosomal RNA (313 nucleotides) under uncultured soil bacterium. RNAcentral describes it as "bacterial SSU rRNA". It matches the Rfam family "Bacterial small subunit ribosomal RNA", at positions 26 to 363 of the family's 1533-position model. The record is from RNAcentral.